This 2346-nucleotide ribosomal RNA is filed under the name Staphylococcus aureus. RNAcentral's name for it is "partial 23S ribosomal RNA". It matches the Rfam family "Bacterial large subunit ribosomal RNA", at positions 1 to 2345 of the family's 2925-position model. The record is from RNAcentral. Lineage: Bacteria; Bacillati; Bacillota; Bacilli; Caryophanales; Staphylococcaceae.
GAUUAAGUUAUUAAGGGCGCACGGUGGAUGCCUUGGCACUAGAAGCCGAUGAAGGACGUUACUAACGACGAUAUGCUUUGGGGAGCUGUAAGUAAGCUUUGAUCCAGAGAUUUCCGAAUGGGGAAACCCAGCAUGAGUUAUGUCAUGUUAUCGAUAUGUGAAUACAUAGCAUAUCAGAAGGCACACCCGGAGAACUGAAACAUCUUAGUACCCGGAGGAAGAGAAAGAAAAUUCGAUUCCCUUAGUAGCGGCGAGCGAAACGGGAAGAGCCCAAACCAACAAGCUUGCUUGUUGGGGUUGUAGGACACUCUAUACGGAGUUACAAAGGACGACAUUAGACGAAUCAUCUGGAAAGAUGAAUCAAAGAAGGUAAUAAUCCUGUAGUCGAAAAUGUUGUCUCUCUUGAGUGGAUCCUGAGUACGACGGAGCACGUGAAAUUCCGUCGGAAUCUGGGAGGACCAUCUCCUAAGGCUAAAUACUCUCUAGUGACCGAUAGUGAACCAGUACCGUGAGGGAAAGGUGAAAAGCACCCCGGAAGGGGAGUGAAAUAGAACCUGAAACCGUGUGCUUACAAGUAGUCAGAGCCCGUUAAUGGGUGAUGGCGUGCCUUUUGUAGAAUGAACCGGCGAGUUACGAUUUGAUGCAAGGUUAAGCAGUAAAUGUGGAGCCGUAGCGAAAGCGAGUCUGAAUAGGGCGUUUAGUAUUUGGUCGUAGACCCGAAACCAGGUGAUCUACCCUUGGUCAGGUUGAAGUUCAGGUAACACUGAAUGGAGGACCGAACCGACUUACGUUGAAAAGUGAGCGGAUGAACUGAGGGUAGCGGAGAAAUUCCAAUCGAACCUGGAGAUAGCUGGUUCUCUCCGAAAUAGCUUUAGGGCUAGCCUCAAGUGAUGAUUAUUGGAGGUAGAGCACUGUUUGGACGAGGGGCCCCUCUCGGGUUACCGAAUUCAGACAAACUCCGAAUGCCAAUUAAUUUAACUUGGGAGUCAGAACAUGGGUGAUAAGGUCCGUGUUCGAAAGGGAAACAGCCCAGACCACCAGCUAAGGUCCCAAAAUAUAUGUUAAGUGGAAAAGGAUGUGGCGUUGCCCAGACAACUAGGAUGUUGGCUUAGAAGCAGCCAUCAUUUAAAGAGUGCGUAAUAGCUCACUAGUCGAGUGACACUGCGCCGAAAAUGUACCGGGGCUAAACAUAUUACCGAAGCUGUGGAUUGUCCUUUGGACAAUGGUAGGAGAGCGUUCUAAGGGCGUUGAAGCAUGAUCGUAAGGACAUGUGGAGCGCUUAGAAGUGAGAAUGCCGGUGUGAGUAGCGAAAGACGGGUGAGAAUCCCGUCCACCGAUUGACUAAGGUUUCCAGAGGAAGGCUCGUCCGCUCUGGGUUAGUCGGGUCCUAAGCUGAGGCCGACAGGCGUAGGCGAUGGAUAACAGGUUGAUAUUCCUGUACCACCUAUAAUCGUUUUAAUCGAUGGGGGGACGCAGUAGGAUAGGCGAAGCGUGCGAUUGGAUUGCACGUCUAAGCAGUAAGGCUGAGUAUUAGGCAAAUCCGGUACUCGUUAAGGCUGAGCUGUGAUGGGGAGAAGACAUUGUGUCUUCGAGUCGUUGAUUUCACACUGCCGAGAAAAGCCUCUAGAUAGAAAAUAGGUGCCCGUACCGCAAACCGACACAGGUAGUCAAGAUGAGAAUUCUAAGGUGAGCGAGCGAACUCUCGUUAAGGAACUCGGCAAAAUGACCCCGUAACUUCGGGAGAAGGGGUGCUCUUUAGGGUUAACGCCCAGAAGAGCCGCAGUGAAUAGGCCCAAGCGACUGUUUAUCAAAAACACAGGUCUCUGCUAAACCGUAAGGUGAUGUAUAGGGGCUGACGCCUGCCCGGUGCUGGAAGGUUAAGAGGAGUGGUUAGCUUCUGCGAAGCUACGAAUCGAAGCCCCAGUAAACGGCGGCCGUAACUAUAACGGUCCUAAGGUAGCGAAAUUCCUUGUCGGGUAAGUUCCGACCCGCACGAAAGGCGUAACGAUUUGGGCACUGUCUCAACGAGAGACUCGGUGAAAUCAUAGUACCUGUGAAGAUGCAGGUUACCCGCGACAGGACGGAAAGACCCCGUGGAGCUUUACUGUAGCCUGAUAUUGAAAUUCGGCACAGCUUGUACAGGAUAGGUAGGAGCCUUUGAAACGUGAGCGCUAGCUUACGUGGAGGCGCUGGUGGGAUACUACCCUAGCUGUGUUGGCUUUCUAACCCGCACCACUUAUCGUGGUGGGAGACAGUGUCAGGCGGGCAGUUUGACUGGGGCGGUCGCCUCCUAAAAGGUAACGGAGGCGCUCAAAGGUUCCCUCAGAAUGGUUGGAAAUCAUUCAU